UUUAAUUUUUGUGCUCAAAAAAAAAAAAAGGACACCAUGAGUUAUUUUUUAGAUGAUAAAAAAGUUCUAUUAAAAAGUUUGAUAUCAACAAACGAAAGCAUAAAGACUGAAAAUGAAAACAUCGAGUUGGAAAAUGAGGCGUUUUUACAUUUACUAACAAAAUACGAAGAAAAAAAAAAAAUUCCGAAUAUAUUAGAAUUUGUUCAUAAUGUAUGUACCAAUUUAUAUGAAAAAGAAGAAGAACUAAAUUAUAACGUUUUACAUAAAGACUUUAUAAAUACAUUAACAAAUUUAAUAAGUAAAAACGUAUUAAAUUAUAAGGACACCCUUAAUGAAAUUUUGACAAAUAAUGAUGAAUGUGUGGAAGCGGAUGAAAAAAAAAAAAAAGUAGCU
This is a long non-coding RNA of Piliocolobus tephrosceles (Ugandan red Colobus), 393 nucleotides long. RefSeq lists it as uncharacterized. Lineage: Eukaryota; Metazoa; Chordata; Mammalia; Primates; Cercopithecidae. The transcript has 2 exons. The record is from RefSeq and is a predicted model, not a curated record.